UACGGAGGGUGCAAGCGUUAUCCGGAUUCACUGGGUUUAAAGGGUGCGUAGGUGGGCAGGUAAGUCAGUGGUGAAAUCUCUGGGCUUAACCCAGGAACUGCCGUUGAUACUAUCUGUCUUGAAUAUAGUGGAGGUGAGCGGAAUAUGUCAUGUAGCGGUGAAAUGCUUAGAUAUGACAUAGAACACCCAUUGCGAAGGCAGCUCGCUACACUAUCAUUGACACUGAGGCACGAAAGCGUGGGGAUCAAACAGG
This 253-nucleotide ribosomal RNA is filed under the name uncultured bacterium. Its description in RNAcentral is "partial 16S ribosomal RNA". It matches the Rfam family "Bacterial small subunit ribosomal RNA", at positions 524 to 776 of the family's 1533-position model. The record is from RNAcentral.